Molecule: ribosomal RNA, 92 nt
Filed under: Corallina sp. 2015-SOF
Lineage: Eukaryota; Rhodophyta; Florideophyceae; Corallinales; Corallinaceae
Also listed under: 1 other name
Description: partial 5.8S ribosomal RNA
Rfam family: 5.8S ribosomal RNA
About the family: 5.8S ribosomal RNA (5.8S rRNA) is a component of the large subunit of the eukaryotic ribosome.
Source: RNAcentral
UGUAAUGUGAUUUGCAGAACUCGUGAGUCAUCGAAUUUUUGAACGCAAGUUGCGCUCGCGGGAAAUCCUGCGAGCACGUCUGUUUGAGUGUC